UCGCGCCUUUCCCUCAUCCACACCAACCGGUCGCCCGAAUCUCGAGCGCCACCCAUGGCCUCCUCCGCCUUGUCCGGCACCCACCAUCGCCUCCUUCUCCCCUGUUUCCUGCGCCGCCUCCCCCGACCCCGCUCGCGCUCGUGCUCCCGCCUCCGCCUCGCCGCCUGCCACGCCGACACCCUCCUUUCCUCCUCCGGGGCCCAGGGGCCGCCCUCCCCCGCCGCGUGCUCGUCGGCAUCCUCCGCUGGCGGGUUCUCUGACUGGCUACUCACGAAUGGGCUGCCGCCGGGCAAGGUGGCCAUCCUGGAGCGCCCCGUCCCGUGCUCUCGCGGGGGCAAAGACCGGCCAUUACACUUCGUCGCUGCUGGGCAGGACCUCGAGGCGGGGGAUGUGGCGUUCGAGGUGCCCAUGUCGCUCGUUGUCACACUGGAGCGGGUUCUCGGCGACGAGUCGGUCGCUGAAUUGUUAACAACAAACAAAUUGUCUGAGCUGGCAUGCUUGGCAUUGUAUCUGAUGUAUGAGAAGAAGCAAGGAAGAGAUUCACUUUGGUACCCGUAUAUUAAAGAACUUGAUCGUCAGCGAGGCAGGGGGCAACUAGCUGUUGAAUCACCUCUUUUAUGGAUUGAAAGUGAACUGGAUUACCUGAAUGGCAGCCCCAUGAGGGAUGAAGUUGUUGUUAGAGAUGAGGGAAUAAGAAGAGAGUAUAAUGAGCUUGACACAUUGUGGUUCAUGGCAGGUUCAUUGUUUAAGCAAUACCCUUUUGAUGUACCUACUGAGGCGUUUCCGUUUGAGAUCUUCAAGCAGGCAUUUGUUGCAGUACAGUCUUGUGUGGUUCAUUUGCAGAAGGUUAGUUUAGCUCGAAGAUUUGCACUAGUUCCCUUGGGCCCACCACUGUUGACGUACAAGAGCAACUGCAAAGCAAUGCUGACUGCUGUUGAUGGUUCUGUUCGGUUGCUGGUCGAUCGGCCGUACAAAGCAGGAGAACCAAUAAUUGUUUGGUGUGGGCCUCAACCAAACUCCAGGUUGCUUCUCAAUUAUGGUUUUGUUGAUGAAGACAAUCCAUAUGAUCGCAUAGCAAUCGAGGUGGGAUUUCUAAAACUGUUUUACAGUCCUUAUUUGGUUGUUGUAACCAAGCCUAAAUUAUUAUCACAGGCAUCCCUAAACACUGAAGAUCCUCAAUACCAAGAGAAGAGAAUGGUCGCUCAAAGAAAUGGAAAGCUUGCUAUCCAAAAAUUCCAAGUCUGUGUAGGCAAAGAGAAGGAAACUAUUUCUGAAAUGCUGCCAUACUUGAGACUAGGAUACAUUUCAGAUCCAGAUGAAAUGCAAUGUAUACUUUCGUCAGAAGGUGAUACAUGUCCAGUUAGUCCAUGCUCAGAGCGAGCUGUACUUGACCAACUUGUUGUCUACCUGAAAUCAAGAUUGGCUGGUUAUCCGACUACUUUGGACGAGGAUGAAGCAAUGUUGGCCGAGGGCAGUUUGGAGCCAAAGAAAGAAGUUGCCACUAGACUUGUAAGGUUAGAGAAGAAAAUGCUGCAUGGCUGUCUUCAGGCUGCUAACGAGUUCAUAAGUGGCUUGCCUGAUCAUACCGUAUCACCUUGCCCUGCUCUAUAUGCUCCUGAAUUGAAAUAAGAGAAGCAAGUGUGCAGUGAGAUUCAAUUAUUGCUAGAUGGACAUAUCACUUCAGGGCACGUUCUCUGUUAAGUGCAUCAUUAGAAGGUAAAUUAGAUAAUUGAGCAUGAGUUUGAAAUACCUUCAAGUUUCAGGAUUUGAUCUGAUGUUAAUAUUUUUUACAUAUUCUUGCCAAAUGUAUGUCUAUGAUUUCUUGCCUAGAUUCCAAACCUCAAAUACUGAAAAACGAGUACUGGAACCCUGGCAGUUAAGGAAACCUGUUCGAGUGUAACAAGGAUAUUGUCGAUCUCCACUAGAUCUGCAAACAGUUUUAUUGCACACAAAUGUGCAUUGAUUUGCUUUUCCAGCAGUGUAGAUUCGUUCUGUGUGUUCAUUUUCAUGAUUGAGAGUUAGCAAUGGUAUCUUGGACAUGCUCACUUUUCAUUUUGUGCAUAGAAGAACAUGCACGAAAAUUGGCUUGGCUCAGCUAUUCUAUUGUAACGGCUGGUUUAGAAUUACCGAAUCUGUCGACCCAGAGCUGGUAAUUGCAUGACAGUAGUUAUGCUCUGAUGCUGCAUACCGCUAUUUGUAGUUUGAUUAUCUUCUCGAUGCUUUGCCAAAAAUUCGUUUC
This is an RNA transcript of Triticum aestivum (bread wheat), 2239 nucleotides long. It is a transcript of the gene named fructose-bisphosphate aldolase-lysine N-methyltransferase, chloroplastic, with no coding region annotated. The transcript has 12 exons. The record is from RefSeq and is a predicted model, not a curated record. Lineage: Eukaryota; Viridiplantae; Streptophyta; Magnoliopsida; Poales; Poaceae.